RNAcentral lists this ribosomal RNA (444 nucleotides) under uncultured bacterium. RNAcentral describes it as "bacterial SSU rRNA". It matches the Rfam family "Bacterial small subunit ribosomal RNA", at positions 338 to 795 of the family's 1533-position model. The record is from RNAcentral.
CCUACGGGGGGCUGCAGUCGAGAAUCUUCCGCAAUGGACGAAAGUCUGACGGAGCGACGCCGCGUGAUUGAUGACGCACUUCGGUGUGUAAAGAUCUUUUAUGAGGGAAGAAGUUUAUUGACGGUACCUCAUGAAUAAGGGGCUCCUAAUCUCGUGCCAGCAGGAGCGGUAAUACGAGAGCCCCGAGCGUUAUCCGGAAUUAUUGGGCGUAAAGGGUGCGUAGGUGGUUGUGUUAGUCGUUUGUCAAAUCCUUGGGCUUAACCCAAGAACCGCGAACGAAACGGCACAACUUGAGAAUGUGAGGGGUAAAGGGAACUCAUGGUGUAGGGGUGAAAUCCGUUGAUAUCAUGGGGAACACCAAAAGCGAAGGCACUUUACUGGCACAUUUCUGACACUCAAGCACGAAAGCGUGGGUAGCGAAUGGGAUUAGAUACCCCGGUAGUC